GACGAACGCUGGCGGCGUGCUUAACACAUGCAAGUCGAACGGAAAGGCCCUGCUUUUGUGGGGUGCUCGAGUGGCGAACGGGUGAGUAACACGUGAGUAACCUGCCCUUGACUUUGGGAUAACUUCAGGAAACUGGGGCUAAUACCGGAUAGGAGCUCCUGCUGCAUGGUGGGGGUUGGAAAGUUUCGGCGGUUGGGGAUGGACUCGCGGCUUAUCAGCUUGUUGGUGGGGUAGUGGCUUACCAAGGCUUUGACGGGUAGCCGGCCUGAGAGGGUGACCGGCCACAUGGGGACUGAGAUACGGCCCAGAAUCCUACGGGAGGCAGCAGUGGGGAAUAUUGCACAAUGGGCGGAAGCCUGAUGCAGCAACGCCACGUGCGGGAUGACGGCCUACGGGUUGUAAACCGCUUUCGCCUGUGACGAAGCGUGAGUGACGGUAAUGGGUAAAGAAGCACCGGCUAACUACGUG
Molecule: ribosomal RNA, 468 nt
Filed under: uncultured bacterium
Lineage: Bacteria
Description: partial 16S ribosomal RNA
Rfam family: Bacterial small subunit ribosomal RNA
Source: RNAcentral